AUAACCAAACGGCUUAAGAAAUCCAGCCCUCAGUCUCUCUCUUCCUGCACAACCUCACUCUUGGCCACAAGUGACCCCCCCCCCGAAUGUCUUUCCAAUAACCUCUUUCCUUUGAGAGAGAGUAGAUGAGUGUUCGGAUUAUUCAAAGGCUUUAUCUAUCACUUGAUGUCUGACCUGUGUCUCCUUCAAAGGCGUUGACUUUCCUUUAGUAAGAACUUUUUAACUUGGUCGAUUAAAUGUCAUCUAAAUAUCCCAAUGAUUGAAGAGCUGCAAAAACAGGGCUACAAGUGAAAAGGGAAAGAAUAAGACAAAACACAAAGGGAAAACAAUUAAAAGGAAAGAAUGACCUGUGGAAAUUAAACAGAGCUUAAAUUGAGUACCAAGCUGAUGCUGGGAUUUCUCUGGUGUUGAUUUAUCACCAAGGCCCAGCUAGGCCAUCCUCUUCCUGCACGAUUUGGGCCCAGACAUUGCAAGCCGAGGAGACAUGUUUUCCUCAGUAGAAAUUAAGUGCUUGAAGUCUCCUUGCUACAGGCAAAAUUUAUGUUUUCAAAACACUCUACAUUAUAUCUAGUGAUUAGAACCGUAAACCUUGGAUUAAAUUGCUUCUUAUGAGUGGUUCAUGAUAUAAGAAUGUGACUUUCACUGAAAUAAGAAACAAAGAGGCAACAAGGUGGGGAUAAUACAAAAGCUGACACCAGGGGUGACCUUGGGAGAGUCAUUAAUCCCCUGGACCCAAGUUUAUAGAAUAUGCAAUAAUAACUUGGAUUUCCGUGAAAACCCAUUGAGCAGUUCUCAAAGCCAGCAUGUGAAAGGAUACUUUCCCAGCAGCCAAAAUAUUCUCUAAAAUAGAUGAUGGCUUUACUUGUUCAUGCUCAGAAAGGGAGACACAAAUAUUAGAGAUCAGCUAAUGAUUAAAUAAAGUUUUCUCCUGCCUAAGGCAAAGAUGAGAGUAACCAGAAGACAAGGAACACACGGAAGCCAAGUGCAAUAAUUCUGUCAAGGCUCAAAUACUCAGAAGAUUCCAGUACAAUGCAAUUUGAGCAGCAUCAGAAACACAUCCACCAUGGGCAGCAAAGAGCCCCCUUUACAUUUAAUUAGGCAGAGAAACUCUAGCUGAAUGGGUUAAAAAUUGCCACUAUUUCACAGUAAGUGAUUUUCUUAACCCCCAAGGGUUCAAAUUACUUUGGCAGGAAAAGCAAUUAUGCAAUUAAUAGGGGAAAAAUCUCCAGAGCUCUGUAAUUUGCAAAGAGGUAAAGGUUCUGCUGUGGCCUGCAGGGGACAGCUGAGCUCUGAUGCUUCUUUCUUUUUCUCUCUUUCUCUCUCCCUUUUUUUUUUUUUUUAAUUUGACCACACCUGAAAUAAAAACCAAGGAUAUUUUAAGGAAUAGGAAAGCACAACAGCUCAGAUAAUGUCCCUGCCAGUAUAUUCAUUACAGGCUCAUCAGAGUGGAUGCCUGCAAUCGGAAGAUUAAAUACCCAUUUACCAGGAUCAGAAGAGAGUUUGGUUUUAUAAUGUAUUGUCCUCUAUUCCCCGAGAGGCUGCUUUGUUUGAUAAAAUGCUGAGUGUGGUGUAAAAAUAUCCCUCUGUCUGUAAUUUGCACUCCUCUCCAUUUAAAGCUAUUCUUGCUGCAAACGAGAAUUGAAAGCUGCUAAAAUUAAGUGGUGUCAGUUCUCAAUGACACUUUAAUGAUAGAGCGCUCAGCAAAUGAGAUGAGAAUGAAUUCCAGCAUCUCUGCUAAAGAUAGUAACCAGCCCCAAACACUGUGCUGCUCUGGGGCCACACUUCACCUGCUUCAUUCAUAUUUAGUAGAUCUCAAAGUGGGAAACUAUCAUUUAAAGGACUGGAAAACGAAAGGUGGAAAUAACCGGUGGGCAUUGGUUCAAAGCAACUGGGAGGGUUUUUUGGGGGGCGGGGAGUGAGUUGAAGAUGCUCUCUCGGACUGAGCCUUCUACUUGGGUACCGAGUAGAUAUAGCACAUUUUAUUUUAAGAGAUUAACGUCCCACUGACCAAGAAAAUCUCUUCUGAUGGUGUCACCGGAAGGAAAUAAGGCUCUGAUUCAUUUUAUAGAUGGGACUGUACAUACUCAUUCUUGUUACUGGCUUGACAUUCUUGGUACUGCCAUGUCUUGACAGACUUGCAUACUUGAAACACUUCUAUACCACACCAGCCUCAUUCACAGAGAGGAGAAGGCAUCAUUGGUGGAGAUGGCUCCCCUCUUACCAUGGGGAGAGGAGGAGUUCUGGGCUCCCCAAAGCACCCCUCCAGAUGUCUCUCAUGCAUCUGACACCACCACACUGGAGGCCGACUGAAUUACAAGGACCUAAUUGAAAUGUGCUUGCAACCCGUGUUCCAGUGUUAUCAUAUUUAGAGUCAUGGGAAUUUCUUUUCACUAUUUUUUCAUGGAAGCAUUGUUGAUAUAAAAUGUGUUAAUUUCUGCUGUACGGCAAUGUGAUUGUUACACAUAUACAUAUAUACAUUCUUUUUAUAUCUUCUUUUCCAUGGGGGUUAUCAUAGAACAUUAAAUAUUGCAGUCUGUGCUAUACAGUAGGCUCUUGUUGUGUGUCCCUUUCAUGUGUAGUAGCUUACGUCUGCUAACCCCAGCCUCCCACUCCAUCCUUCCCCCAAAUCCCUUCCUGGUGGCAAACACAAGUCUGUUCUCUAGGUCUGUGAGUCUGUUUCUGUUUUGUAGAUAGGUUUAUCUGUGCCACAUUUAAAUUUCACAUACGAGUGUUAGCAUAUAUUUGUCUUUCUCUUUCUGACUUACUUCAUUUAUAUGAUAAUCUCUAAUUGCAUCCAUGUUGCUAAAAAUGGCAUUAUUUAGUUCUUUUUUAUGGCUGAGUAGUAUUCCUUUGUAUAUAUGUACUAUAUCUUCUUUAUCCAUUUAUCUGUCAAUGCAUAUUUAGCUUGUUUUCAUGUCUUGGCUAUCGUGAAUAGUGCUACUAUAAACACAGAGGUGCACAUAUCUUUUUGAAUUAUAGAAACAGCAUAGGAACCUCUGUGCUGUUUUCCACAGUGGUUGUACUGAUUUACAUUCCCACCAACAGUGUAGGAGGGUUCCCUUUUCUCCACAUCCUCUCCAACAUUUGUUGUGUGUAGAUUUUUAAAUGACAGCCAUUCUGACCAGUGUGACAUGGUAACUCAUUGCAGUUUUGAUUUGCAUUUCUCUAAUAAUGAGGGAUGUUGAACUUUUUUUAUGUGUCUGUUGGCCAUGUGGUUUUCUUCUUUGGAGAAACAUUUUUUGAGGUCUUCUGCCCAUUUUUUGAUUGGGUUGUUUUGUUUUCGUUGAGUUGUAUGAGCUGUUGGCAUACUUUGGAAAUUAAGCUCCUGUCAGUUUCUUCACUUGCAAAUAUUUUCUCACAGUCUGUAGGUUGUCUUUUCUGUUUUGUUUGUUUGAUUUUAUGGCUUCCUUUGCACGGCAAAACUUGUAGGUCCCAUUUGUUUAUUUUUGUUUUUAUUUCUAUUGCCUUGGAAGACUGACUUAAGAAAACAUUGGUAUGAUUUACGUCAAAGAAUAUUUUACUGGGGUUCCUGUCAUGGCUCAGUGGAAACAAAUCUGCCGAGUAUCCACCACCUUCAGCUGUGGUGUAGGUCACAGAUGAGGCUCAUCCUGUGUUGCUGUGGCUAUGGCAUAGGCCAGCAGUUACAACUCCAAUUAGACCCCAGCCAGGAACUUACAUAUGUUGCAGUUGUGGCCCUAAAAUGCAAAAAAAAAAAAAAAAAAAAAAAA
Molecule: long non-coding RNA, 3728 nt
Filed under: Sus scrofa (pig)
Lineage: Eukaryota; Metazoa; Chordata; Mammalia; Artiodactyla; Suidae
Description: lncRNA (ENSSSCG00060014036.1)
Source: RNAcentral